RNAcentral lists this unclassified non-coding RNA (931 nucleotides) under Bradyrhizobium sp. ORS 3650. Its description in RNAcentral is "partial 16S-23S ribosomal RNA intergenic spacer". The stretch from base 804 to 931 matches the Rfam family "Bacterial large subunit ribosomal RNA", at positions 1 to 127 of the family's 2925-position model. Lineage: Bacteria; Pseudomonadati; Pseudomonadota; Alphaproteobacteria; Hyphomicrobiales; Nitrobacteraceae. The record is from RNAcentral.
AUCCCCUCUUUCUAAGGAUGAUCCUUCAGCGAGCUCACGCUCACUAUCGGAUCGUUUUAGAAACAUCAGUGGCCAACAGAUCGCCAGAUCGUUGAGCUGCAUUGGCGGGAUUUCGCCGUCUUCGUUUCUCUUUCUUCGCGGACGAACACGCGCCGGGGCUGCGCUGUGCGAUUGCAUCUGCGCUGGUCGCCGAUGCAUGCACGCAAGACCCUAGUCCUGAAAAGGAUAGCGUUAGGGCUUGUAGCUCAGUUGGUUAGAGCGCGCGCUUGAUAAGCGUGAGGUCGGAAGUUCAAGUCUUCCCAGGCCCACCACUUUCAUCGAGUGAGCAUUCGUCUUCUGGUUACGGGGCCAUAGCUCAGCUGGGAGAGCGCGUGCUUUGCAAGCAUGAGGUCGUCGGUUCGAUCCCGUCUGGCUCCACCAGAUGGUUUGAUCACCGAGAUCAUGUACCGUCGUCCGCGAAACAUCACUUCGCAUUCACUAGUCUGGAUAGACAGUGAACUGCGUGUUUUCUGACAUCGUAAAGAGGAGAUCGAUCCGAGUUGGGUCGUGCAGCAUAUCGUUGCGCGAGCCUUCAUUAUCUCCGGAUCAUUUUCGGCGCUCGCUUUCAGCCGUGAGGUUGAAUGCGAGUUGUAAAAUGAUCCUUUUAGCGAAGCUUGACCGCCUCGCUAUCGGAACGAUCUUACGAAGCAAGCUGGUCUUUCUAGUCAAUGUCCGGCUGCAGAUAGCGCUCAUCGAGGGCGCGUGCCGCAAGGCAAUUCUGCAGACAACAUUCUGCCGAGUGUGUGGACAUUGAUAAUGAGAGCAAUCAAGUGCCUUAAGGGUGUUCGGUGGAUGCCUUGGCGCUGAGAGGCGAUGAAGGACGUGCUACGCUGCGAUAAGCCGUGGGGAGCUGCGAAGAAGCUUUGAUCCGCGGAUUUCCGAAUGGGGAAAC